CUCAAGAUGAGAUUUCCCAUAGCGUAAGCUAGUAAGAUCCCUUGAAGAACACAAGGUUGAUAGGUCGGGGGUGUAAGCAUGGUAACAUGUUCAGCUGACCGAUACUAAUAGAUCGAGGGCUUGACCAAAUAU
Molecule: ribosomal RNA, 132 nt
Filed under: Clostridium perfringens
Lineage: Bacteria; Bacillati; Bacillota; Clostridia; Eubacteriales; Clostridiaceae
Description: partial 23S ribosomal RNA
Rfam family: Bacterial large subunit ribosomal RNA
Source: RNAcentral